GGCACGCCUAACACAUGCAAGUCGAGCGCUCUAACCACUUCGGUGGGGACGGGAGCGGCGGACGGGUUAGUAACGCGUGGGAACAUACCCUUUUCUACGGAAUAGCCUCGGGAAACUGAGAGUAAUACCGUAUACGCCCUUCGGGGGAAAGAUUUAUCGGUUAAGGAUUGGCCCGCGUUAGAUUAGUUAGUUGGUGGGGUAACGGCCUACCAAGACGACGAUCUAUAGCUGGUUUGAGAGGAUGAUCAGCAACACUGGGACUGAGACACGGCCCAGACUCCUACGGGAGGCAGCAGUGGGGAAUCUUAGACAAUGGGCGCAAGCCUGAUCUAGCGAUGCCGCGUGAGUGAAGAAGGCCUUAGGGUCGUAAAGCUCUUUCGCCUGUGAUGAUAAUGACAGUAGCAGGUAAAGAAACCCCGGCUAACUCCGUGCCAGCAGCCGCGGUAAUACGGAGGGGGUUAGCGUUGUUCGGAAUUACUGGGCGUAAAGCGUACGUAGGCGGAUUAGUAAGUGAGGGGGUGAAAUCCCAGGGGCUCAACCCUGGAACUGCCUCUCAUACUGCUAGUCUUGAGAUCGAGAGAGGUGAGUGGAAUUCCGAGUGUAGAGGUGAAAUUCGUAGAUAUUCGGAGGAACAUCAGUGGCGAAGGCGGCUCACUGGCUCGAUACUGACGCUGAGGUACGAAAGUGUGGGGAGCAAACAGGAUUAGAUACCCUGGUAGUCCACACCGUAAACGAUGAAUGCCAGACGUCGGGUAGCUUGCUAUUCGGUGUCACACCUAACGGAUUAAGCAUUCCGCCUGGGGAGUAC
Molecule: ribosomal RNA, 808 nt
Filed under: uncultured bacterium
Lineage: Bacteria
Description: bacterial SSU rRNA
Rfam family: Bacterial small subunit ribosomal RNA
Source: RNAcentral